Molecule: long non-coding RNA, 648 nt
Organism: Ornithodoros turicata
Lineage: Eukaryota; Metazoa; Arthropoda; Arachnida; Ixodida; Argasidae
Exons: 2
Source: RefSeq, a predicted model, not a curated record
UUCUUCACCUUGGAUGGUUUCAGGCGGUACUGCUUUGCACCAUCUUCCACCAGCUGGACGCGGUCCGCAUUUUCGUUAUAAUGCAAGAUUGCUAGUUGUGUUCUGACAAGAAACAAUGCAUAUUGCUUGUGAUUUCACCUUGCUAGCUUCUUUCUCUAUAACAUCAUAACCUUCAAGUGCUAUUAUUACCUCGCACGCAUUCCAGCAUCUGAGAAGCCAUGUGUUUUUGGCAGAAAAUGAAGGAGAACGCUAUGAAAUGCUUCCAGGCAAAAUGUCUGAUUUGUAGAUGACAGCAUCGGAAUGUCUUUCAGAAGUGUAGGAGCCAUCAGUAUAUCAUGCACGCGCAUAUUUUCAAUUGCUCACCUUCCUUCAGCCAUUCCCUUGGUGGGGACACUGGCCCGUGGUAGCAGACAGGGUACUGAGGGUCUUCGUGUUGAUGGACGUCAACGAUAUCGUUCAUCAAGGACACCCAUUUAGCCCGGCACAGUUCACCAUCAUCCCCACUGGUUUUGGGGCACCAGUAGGCAUGCCGAACUAUACUCUCGAUCCACAGCUGCACCACCUGAUGCUUUGCUGUGCGACCGAGAGCAAGAAGUUUCUUCUUGAUACCUGUUAUAAGCACACAUGUAAAAUUUUUCUGUAAGCUUC